UGGGGAAUUUUGGACAAUGGGGGAAACCCUGAUCCAGCCAUCCCGCGUGUUCGAUGAAGGCCUUCGGGUUGUAAAGCACUUUUGGCAGGAAAGAAACGUCAUGGGUUAAUACCCCGUGAAACUGACGGUACCUGCAGAAUAAGCACCGGCUAACUACGUGCCAGCAGCUGCGGUAAUAAGUAGGGUGCAAGCGUUAAUUGGAAUUACUGGGCGUAAAGCGUGCGCAGGCGGUUCGGAAAGAAAGAUGUGAAAUCCCAGAGCUCAACUUUGGAACUGCAUUUUUAACUACCGGGCUAGAGUGUGUCAGAGGGAGGUGGAAUUCCGCGUGUAGCAGUGAAAUGCGUAGAUAUGCGGAGGAACACCGAUGGCGAAGGCAGCCUCCUGGGAUAACACUGACGCUCAUGCACGAAAGCGUGGGGAGCAAACAGG
Molecule: ribosomal RNA, 429 nt
Filed under: Acidobacteriota bacterium
Lineage: Bacteria; Pseudomonadati; Acidobacteriota
Description: Acidobacteria bacterium partial 16S ribosomal RNA
Rfam family: Bacterial small subunit ribosomal RNA
Source: RNAcentral